RNAcentral lists this long non-coding RNA (1370 nucleotides) under Homo sapiens (human). RNAcentral describes it as "HSALNT0138445". Lineage: Eukaryota; Metazoa; Chordata; Mammalia; Primates; Hominidae. The record is from RNAcentral.
GGCUCCUCCCCGACGAACCCCAUUCCUGCUUUCCCGCUCAAAUGUUGCAUUUUCUAAGACCUCCCUGGCCCGCCAUACGCCGAUCCUGAACCUACGAAAACCCAAGACUGCGGGCACGGUGGCUCAUGCCUGUAAUCCCAGCACUUUGGGAGGCCGAGGCGGGCAGAUCACGAGGUCAAGAAGUCGAGACCAGCCUUGCUAACAUGGCGAAACCCUGACUCUACUGAAAAUACAAAAAUUAGCUGGGCGUGAUGGCGUGCGCGCCUGUAGUCCCAGCUGCUCGGGAGGCUGAGGUAGGAGAAUCGCUUCAAUCCGGGAGGUGGAGGUUGCGGUAAGCAGAGAUUGCGCCACUGCACUCUAGCCUGGCGACAGAGACUCCUUCAAAAACAACAACAACAACAACAACAACAACAAAACAAAACCUCCCAAGACCCUAGUGGGCAGACACACAGCCAGCCAGACAUGGAGAGGAGCACAUUAGCAGAAGAAGACGCAAGUGGCUGGUCCUCGAGAGGACGUUGAGAGGAGCAUGCCAGCAGAAGAGCACACAACGACAGGCACCGACACACCACCGGCAGGCCAUGCACCAGCAGAAUGAUGCGGAGUUUGACGGGGCAGUCAGAGAAGAGCCUGGGCCGCCAAGGGGCCCGACUCCAGGGGAAAACCACACCGCACCCGGCCAACAUCAGCAUUUAGAACCUAAACCCUAAAUAAAAUCUAACUCACUCUUUAAGCUUUGGCACAAAUGUCGUUUCUUAUUUGCUCUGAUGUGGGUCAGUCUUCCUUCAUGCUCCCGUAAGUAUCAGAGUUCCUUCAAUCAUUUGCACAUAUCUGUGUUAUAAUGUUGAACUGUAAUUAUUUAUUUAAUUUUCAGUCUCUCUCCUUUAGGCAGUGAGCUCUCCAAGGACAAAGGCAUAUUAUUUGUUUAGCUAGCUUUUAGAGAUAGGGUCUUGCUAAGUUUCCCAGGCUGGAGUGAAGUGGCUAUUCAUAGGUGAGAUCCCACUAUUAAUUAGCACAGAAAUUUUGACCUACUUCAUUUCUGACCUGGGCCAGUUCACCUCUCCUUAGGCAACCUAGUGGGCCUCACUCCUGGGAGGUCAUGAUAUUGAUGCCAGUUUAGUGUGGACACCCAGUGAGCAUAGCUCACUACAGCCCAGAAGUUCUGGGCUCAAGCUGUCCUCCUGCCUCAGCUCCCAAGUAUCUGGGACUACAGGUACAUGCCACCAUGUCCAGCAACAAAGACAUAUUUUAGUUAUCCUGUGUUUGUGUCUGUCUCAAUACCUAGCCUUAGUAUAAACAUUUAGCAAAUGUUUAUUGAUGAAAUGGAUGAAGUCCCACCUCCCAUUUUGGACCACUUGCCCUUCUCAGAA